UGCAUUGUGAACCACGCCCCCAUUCUCCGAUGAUCUUUCAGCCAUAUUGGAUGCUGGGUUCAAACGAAAUUUACUAUUGAUUUAAUUGUAUCGACAGUGGAUAAUUUACUGUAUUCCAUGUCAUGAAUGACCACAAUUUUGAAACGUUGAUAAAUUAUAUCACAGUUUUCUCGUCUUAAAUGAAAGCAUGAGUCAUGAGUUAUCCUAGUUUAUGAUUGCGAAGGUGUUUCUCCGUCAGAUUUGUUAGCACAUUGUUAGCACAGCGAGGUGUCACGUGAUCUCACGGCUUGGCGUAAGAUUGUACGCCACUUACGCUAUUUGCGUGCCAUUUUACCAUGCAUUUUAUGCAUUUUACACAUUUAAGGCUUUUAGCGUCUUACUGUACGCUGUUUGGCCAUGGAGAACAACGCAUCCCAGCUGCCACACGUUAACAGCCGAAUCAAAACGAAAAUAUCCGAGCAGCUAAGGAUUGAAACGAAGUCCGAAAAGAAAACGACAGCAAGAUCAGUGGGUUGCUGUCAUGUGACAGCCACACACAAAAAACGGAAAUGCAUCAUAGAGUGAGAGCAAGCCAUGUGGGAUUCUUGCUCCUGAUAUCCUGAUGAUACUGUCCUGUAUGACUCCAACAGAACACUCACAGAAAGGAGAGCAGUGUCAUACUACAAGAUAACUAGCAACAAACCCUUGUUUGUCCUUGUUUGGCUACUCAUUUGUCUACUUCCUGAAGAGGAGCAUGCUAGCCUCGACACCUCAGUUCUUGCUUCCAUUAACAGCUGUGUUAUGGAGCGCAUCCUCACAUCAUGGUCUACUGCAGCAGGUGGAUACGGAAGACAAUUGGUCCAAACCAUCUUGAAGCCUUUUGGACAGAGGAGCGGAUGACCGAGCUGGUUAACCUCUACAUAAAUAGACACAUGUCAAGUGGGUUUAUCAAGGCCCAAAUAUGCUGAGGAAUACAGGCUGCCUUGGUGGCCUAAGGAGUCAUGUCAAUGAUCAGCUGUUUGUUGAGGCAGCAGCAGCAGGAGCAGCACCAACAACAGAAGCAGCAGCAGCAGCAGGAGCAGCACCACCAGCACUAUAAACGCCAUCAGCAGCAGCGGCAGAUUAUAAAGAAGGAUAACAAUGAAUACAUGAAAUCAGAGUGGGAAGUUGUGCUUUUAUGUUUCAUAUAUACUGUAUAAAUAUAUGCACCUUACUUGAGUGUCUCUACAAUUUACUUAUACUGCAAUGCAAUUAAAAUAAAGGCAUUAAUUUAAUUCAUUUGUCAUUUCAGUUUUUAUUCUUACAUUCAUUUCACCUGGGUGCCAGCCAAA
This is a long non-coding RNA of Sardina pilchardus (European sardine), 1310 nucleotides long. RefSeq lists it as uncharacterized. The transcript has 5 exons. NCBI's taxonomy places the organism in Eukaryota, Metazoa, Chordata, Actinopteri, Clupeiformes, Clupeidae. The record is from RefSeq and is a predicted model, not a curated record.